This is a long non-coding RNA of Homo sapiens (human), 472 nucleotides long. Ensembl annotates it as long intergenic non-protein coding RNA 1804. The record is from Ensembl. Lineage: Eukaryota; Metazoa; Chordata; Mammalia; Primates; Hominidae.
AUUAUUUUUAAGGACAGGAUCCCGGUCCAGUCUCCUGACUGCGUAGAGAUCCCUCUUCUUCCCGAAAGGCAGUGGAUGUACUUGAAAGGAGACUUCACGGACAUUCCCAAGGAGACCUGCAUUUUAAGCCCAGCUCUGUCUGCACUUGCUGUGUGUUGAAGUGGACUAUAAAUUGGAAGAGACCCCAAGCGGUUGAGUAACCUGAUCUGAGAUCCCACACCUAAUACGCAUGGAGCCUCACAACUGAACCCAGAAAUGAGAUCUCGCUUUGCUGCCCAGGCUGGUCUUGAGCUCUUGGCUCAGAAGAUCCUCCCUCCUCAAUCUCCUGAAGUGCUGGGAUUGCAGGCAUCAGCCACCACGCCCGGCCAAGGUCAGCUUUUCUGGGUAUAAACUUCCAGUGGGAGAAAGUUUCACCCUUCCAUGGACUAUUGCCUAUGACCUAUUAAACCCAGGGACCUUUUUCAAGUGCAAA